Molecule: long non-coding RNA, 1773 nt
Organism: Empidonax traillii (willow flycatcher)
Lineage: Eukaryota; Metazoa; Chordata; Aves; Passeriformes; Tyrannidae
Exons: 4
Source: RefSeq, a predicted model, not a curated record
GGGCCGGGGCCGCGCCGCCAGCGCCCCCGGGGCUGCGAGCGGGUACUCACUCGAUGAAGUAGCUGGCGCCCUCCUCCGAGAACCCCUCCUCCCAUCCGCGGGGCAGGUCUGCAAGGCACGGGGGAAAGAGAGAGACAGAGAGAGAAAGAGAUUGAGAGCGGGAAGGAGGGGUGAGAACUUCGCCCGGCCGCGGGGAGGGAGGGGGGCGAGGAGGGGGCGCCGCUCGCGGGCCCCGCCGCCCCCCGGGCACCCACCUGAGCGGAUCAUGUGGCCGGAGUUGACGGGCUCCCCGGUGCGAGGGUGCAGCCAGGUGGUGGUGCGGGUCAGGUCGCUGAGAAGGGAGAAGCGGAAAACAUGCACCUGUUAGCGGUGACUGCGUGCGGCCGCCCGGGCGGGCGGGCGGGAGCGGGGCCGCCCUCCCUCCUCCCCGCACCCCUCGCGCGGCGCCCCCUUACUCGAUGAAGAAGACGCGCCCGUCCCUGCAGACGCCGUAGGACCAGUGCUCAGAUAACCAAAAUAAAUAAUCAGAAGAAAGUAGGAGGCAGGAAAAACAGCCUCAUUGGGAAGAGAGAGGGCUUUGCUCAAUUUCAUACCAGUUUCAGACAACAUGCAGGCUCUGGUUCCAGUUGUCCCUGGCUGAUGUCGGCCACUUUUCUAUUACAUAUCAUUCAUUGCUCUCUAGAGGCACUGUGUGGAAGAAACUAUUUGAGGGCACUGUAAGCCUGGCAGCACUGAGAAGCCCUCAGUUCUUCAGUAUUGAUAUACCUGCAACUAUCAACAUUUGGUUUGUUUUAAAGCAGGCACUUGAAGUGAUUUCCAUUCUUAUGAACACAGAUAGGCUCACUGUCAUCCCAUAGCUAUGGACACCUGAGUAUGAGGAAGAUCCUUCUUUAAAGAACAGGACAAAUGGAAAUACAGACAUCACUGACCUCUAAGACUAAAAACUUCAAUAUUUUAAAUCAAACUGUUCAAUUCUCUGAUGUUUCCUCACAAAUUAUGCAUUUUAUUUCCUUCCCCAACAUGAGAUACCUCACUUCUUUGUUCCCAUCAAAGCUUUUUUCCUCCAGCUUUGAGUCCAUUAUCCCAUGACUGUUAUUACCCCUUUUUUUCCAGCCCCUCUGGCAACUGCCAUUACCAUAUUUGCCCCCCUUUUUGGAAUGUUUUACAUACCACACUCAAGGCAAGCAGAAUGUCACAUAUUCCCAACGAUCUCCCAACUAAGACAUUUUUUCUAAAGAAAUUAAAGACCCCUAAAUUCACUAUCCAGGCUUCUCCUGAAGUUUGUUCUUCAUUUGCUUUGCAAGACCCGAAACUUCACCCCUGAAUCCCCUUAAUAGUAAGACCAACUAACAUGUUCAACAGGAUGUUUUCAAAUUUGAAUGUGUCAAAGCCUUUGAUAAAGCAGAUUUUCUCUUCAUUUUUCUUAAUAAACCCACAAAUAGCUUGCUGCUGCUUUGUAGAUCACUUAAAACACAUCCAGGCAUACUAAUAGCAAUCCCCACACAAGACUCCAGACAAGAUUCAAUUUUAGCAUCUUCUGCCCUAUCUUUCCAGAGAUGUUACUUUCUCACCAUGCUCCUAACUCACCAAGGUGUCAGCCCUUUUCCUAAAUAAGCUUUUGCCAGGCAGAACAACCUCUUCUGGCUGUAGUCUCCCAGUUCCUCUAUUCAAAGACCUUUGCAGGACAAUCUGUUUGGCUCCAGAAGGAGAUAACUGAGAGUUAACCACCCUCCCUGAUUUUUCUGGUAACAUGAAGUGUACAUACCUCAUCAC